CACCUCUGCACUUACUUGGUAGAAGUCAAAUUAAGUUUCAUCUCUUCAGGAUACUUUAUUGCUUAAUGCAGAGAAUAAGGGAAUUCUUUAGAGAAGAACAAGGCAUCAACUAAAAUGCCUUUACAAAAUCCUGUGCUGUUGCAAUCCUUUUACACUGAUACAAGGAAGCAGCUAAUGUGAUGUGAGAACUUCUUACGUUUUGCAAAUAAUUGGCCUUGAAAAACUUUUAUUUGCUCUUCAAAAGUCUUAUUUAUGUAGCAAGGUCAAAAUUAAGACAAAAUUGCAUGUAAAGUAAUAUGGCUAUUCUUGUAAAAAUUUUUACCCUAAAAUGAUAAGGAUAUUAUAGUUGAAAUAUAUAUAGAAGCUGAAAACUAUGUUAGUUUACCCAUUACAAGAGACUUGAGGAGAAAACUCACAGGAAUAUACACACAUAUACAUGGUUACUCUCAUACUAUAAGAAUCUUAAGGACAAAUACAAUAUCAAUUAUUUAUCAUGUGACUCUCAAGGCAUAUAUUUUCAGUUCUUAAUGAGUAGAACUCAAAUGUUUAUGGAAUUGAAAAGGGAUUGUGAUAGAAUAUAUGUGACAGAACAGAAAACUCCCUAACUCUAAUGCUUGUGCAUCUCAUAUAAACAGACCUUGUAAGCCUAUCACGUGUUUCUUAUAAAGGCCAUGAAUCACUUUGUCUUAUUUGUCGAUUCUGAGAUUUUUUUUUUACUUUUAUUCAUUUAUAUUUAUUUUGUAUUUUUUUAAUUUUAAUUUUUUUCCCACUGUACAGUGUGGGGACAAAGUUACUCUUACAUGUAUACAUUUUUUUUUCCCACCCUUUGUUCUGUUGCAUUAUAAGUAUCUAGACAUAGUUCUCGAUGCUCCUCAGCAGGAUAUUUUGUCAUUUUUAGGGCUACAACAGAAUGGCAUAUGGAAGUUCCCAGGCUGGGGUUGAAUCAGAGAUGUAGUUUUUGGUCUACACCACCGCCAUAGCAAGGCUAGGGAUCCAACACAUGUCCUCAUGGAUAUUGGUCAGUUUUGUCACUGCUGAUCCACGACAGGAAGUCCAAUCUUUUUUUUUUUUUUAUUUUAAAUGGGAAAGUUGAAAAACUUUUGAGGAGUUCCCAUUGUGGUGCAGCGGAAAUGAAUCCAACUAGGAACCAUGAGGUUGCGGGUUUGAUACCUGGCCUUGCUCAGUGGGUUAAGGAUCUGGUGUUGCUGUGAGCUGUGGUGUAGACAGCAGACACGGCUCAGAUCUGGUAUGGCUAUGGCUGUGGCAUAGGCCAGGAGCUGUAGCUCGGAUUAGACCCCUAGCCUGGGAACCCUCAUAUGCCGAGGGUACGGCCCUAAAAAGACAAAAAAAGAAAAAGAAAAGAAAAGAAACACUUUUGCAAUGAAGGCACUAAACUCUCAGCUGGUAGAGUUAAGGCCAUCUAAUCCCAUCCAUUUUUUAAGGUCCUAGAGAAUCAGAUGUCUGAUUUUAUGUUGUAUGGCAAUUUAGCAGUAGAUAGAUAAUGGAUAAUCAGGCCUUUUCUCUUGUAGUAGCAAAAUCUUGUGUAGUUUCCAUAACACCAUGAAUUGUUCAUAGACAAACAGAAAAAGAUUGAAGCAUUUCCUCAGACGAUAACACUUCCACGUGCACUAAAAAAUUGUACAGGCCUUUUUGAGUACCAGGAAUAAGUAUAUCAGGAGUUCCCGUCGUGGCACAGUGGUUAACAAAUCCGACUAGGAAACAUGAGGUUGCGGGUUCGAUCCCUGCCCUUGCUCAGUGGGUUAACGAUCCGGUGGUGCCAUGAGCUGUGGUGUAAGUCACAUACGUGGCUUGGAUCCCGCAUUGCUGUGGCUCUGGCAUAGGCCAGUGGAUACAACUCCGAUUAGACCUCUCGCCUGGCAACCUCCAUAUGCCGUGGGAGCGGCCCAAGAAAUGGCAAAAAGACCAAAAAAAAAAAAAAAAAAAAAAAGAAUAUCAUAAGUUCCUCUAAUUUUAAAACCAAAGUAUUUAUGCCACUGUGAAUUUAGGAGGCUUUGAUUUUAAAUUGACUUUGGACUGUCUGGCCUAUUUUACAAAACUUUCACUAAAUGUGAAGUACAUAUUUGAUAAUUAUGUGUUCAGAAAAGGUAAUAUAAUUUAAGAUUCUCUCACUUGGCUGAUACAAACAGCAGUGUUUAUCCCUGCCUUUAAUUAUUCAGACUAUCUACCCCUGGUAAUGAUUGGAUUCCAGCCUGAUGACUCUCACAGGACAUGGUCUCCAGCUGUGCUAAAAGCAUGGAAACUUUGCUACAUUCAUUUGAAAGCACAUGUUUGGGGCAGUAAUAUCUUCUAUGUAGUCACAUGAUCACUUGAUUACUGCUGCUACAGAAUGGUAGUACUUCAUCAACAUGAUGGGCAACUUCACUUUAACUAUUAAAAUGUCCUUGAUAUCCUCCUAUGUGUGGACUAUGAAGGGUACGUAUAUAGAAAAUACAUUGUCCCAUGUCUCAAGAAUCUUGCAGAGGACCAAGGGACAGGAUCAUGUAUAGCAUAUCUUAAUCUCUGAGUAGAUUUCCUCAACCUACUCCCAGCCUGACCAAGUACAUUGUCUUCUUCACUCAGAACCUAGAAUGCAGUGGUUAACAAUGAAACUAGAGGCUGUGAGUUUGAUCUCCAGUCUGGGUCUGGUCAUGUUUUAACCAUUUAAACUUGGGCAGGUUAUGUAAUUUCUUUGUACCUCAGUUUCCGUAUCUAUAAUAUGGGGAUAAUAAGAAUAAUAUUAUUAGGUUGAAAUACAUGACAUUAGUAUCUUUGAAAAUCAAAGUGGAACAUCAUUUAGUUACAUAUUUAUCUCUUAGGGGUGUUAUAGGAAUUACUAAAUGUAAGCACUUAGAACAGUGUUAGCACAUAGGAAGCGUUCAAUAAAUGUUGGUUAUUAUUAAAAUACAAAUUCUAUCCACCCUUUAGAGAAAGACUCUAAUCUCAUUUAUUUCCCAGAUUUCUUUAACUACUUCUCUCCUAGGAUAAUUGUCUAAACCAGUCAUGUGGCAAUAACUCAUGUAAAAUCCUGACACUUUUUUCUGCUAUUUCAUCAUUUUUAUAUUUAUUCUCCAUCCAGUGAAAUCAAAAGUCCCCUAAAAAUCAGAAACAUACUGAAAAUAGUCCUCUCCACUCACUACCACAAUUUGUUAUGCUUAGGAUCAGUUACAAGCAGUUUUCCCAUGUUCAAAAAAUUUUCUCCUAUAUAUGAGCAUUAUGCACAUAUAUAUGUGUGCAUAAUAGAAAGAGGAUGAAUUCGAGUAUCAGUGCCAGUUGCCCUGACAGUCAAAAAGUGGUUUUAGUUUCAGGUUAUCAAGUCAUCAAUUACCCCAGAAUAAAAUUUGGUGAAAUAGAUUAGAUUUGUUUCUGAAACUCAGGAAAUCAGCUUCCAAGAGUUUAAGAACCUAAAGUGGCAGAUCUUUUAUUUGGCAUGAAAAGUAAAUUAUGUUAAUAUUAAGUUGGACUGGAGGAAGAAAAUUACAUAUGCUGACCUGCCGGUUCUUAAGACGUUUUGAAUAAUUUUAUUACGGGAAUUAAUACACAAGUAUAUGAGUGUUUAAUUCAUGUUAUACUGCUAUUUAAAUUUAUAAUUUGAUUUAGAUAGUGUCAUGUUCUCAUAGAUUGCCAUUAAAUUUAGAAUACUACAAUUUUUUAACAGCCUACACUUCAAGUGUUUCUUUUAGAGCUUUUUAGAUACUGUAAGAAUAUAUAAAUUAUUUUAUCAUUCUGUAAAAUUCUAAGCAUAUAUUUUAAAAUUUACACGAAUAUAAAUUAAUUUUAUUAUCAAAUAUAGACUGUUAAUUUGAAAUUCUAGUAAUUUUAAUAAAAUACAUUUAAUUUAAUCAGAAAGCUUUUAUUUUGCUAUUAAAGGGUCACUUUUUCAAGAAUGGGGAAAGGAAGUGUUGGCAUGUUUGAACAUUAGUCUUUUAAUUGGAAAAAAAAAUCUUCAAAUCCCUUCUUGGCAUUCUACAUCUAAUAUCACAGGGAAAUUAAAUAUCUAUUUAAAAUGGCCUGCAUUAUACCAUAUUCAUGAAAUAUUUAUCAAGUGAUAUUAACAGUGUUAAGAAGUAAAUUAUCCUUUGUAAAUGGUGGCUGAACUUUGACCUGUUUCUGAAGUCCUUUGAUAAUUCUCCAUUGCACAUUUGUAGCAGUUCAUGCCAUUGACUUUUAGUCUGUCUAGCGAGAUUAUAUAAGCCUGCUAGCUCUAACAAAUCUACUACGAAUCAUAGUCUAAAGUACUGGAAAGAAUGUUUUCAGCUAUAAUAUUUAAAAGGCAUAAAAUCCCUAGAAAACACCCUUUGAAAAUGAUGAGGAAAAAAUACAUACAUACACAUACAUAUAUAUACAUGUAUAUAUAUGUAUCCAUACAAAUGUAUAUGAAGUAAAAUGUAUGGUAUUUUAGUCCAUUUCAAAUGCUGGUAUCAGGGCACCAUCUUUUAGAACCAGGAGGUAUCAUAGAGUCUCGAUUCUAUUCUUUAAAAAUUAUAUAACAGGGAGUUCUCGUCAUCUCUCAGUGGUUAGCGAAUCUGACUAAGAACCAUGAAGUUGCAGGUUUGAUCCCUGGCCUUGCUCAGUGGGUUAAGGAUCCGGCGUUGCUAUGAGCUACGGUGUAGGUCCCAGAUAUGGCUCGGAUCCGGCGUUCCUGUGGCUCUGGCAUAGGCUGGCGGCUACAGCUCUGAUUCAACCCCUAGCAUGGGAACCUCCAUAUGCCAUGGGAGCAGCCCUAGAAAAGGCAAAAAGACAAAAAAAUAAAAUAAAAUAAAAUAAAAAUUAGAUAACAACACGAGAUGAUUUUCUGAUCUUUUAAAAUUAAGCACUUUAAUUUUUUAUGGUGUUUGAAUACAUGUAAUAACUUUCUAAUUUGCUAUUAAUCCAUUAAAUAAAGUGAGCAAUCUACAAUGAGUUUCAAUAGUAAACAAAUACUGACCCAUGGUAGAACUUGUAUACACUUGUAAAUUAACAAAAUUUAUUUUAGCAUAACCUAAAUGCUCCUGAAGCAGAGAUUUGACUUGGCUCUCUGUGUUUAUACAUAAUUCAGAGAUUUCACUUCUACUGUAUGCAAUAUAUAUAUGUACACACACACACACACACACACACACACACAUCUAUGCCAGUAUCAUUUAAAAAAUAAUUUUGUUAACUAAAUGAAAAAGAAACACAUUGAUUUAAUAAAAAAAAAUCCCAGCAUCUUUACAUGAUUGAAAUGGCCAAAGUCAACAAUGUCUAUAUGGAAAUCUGAAAGCAAAAUCAGGCUUAGUAUUAAAUGUACCCACAGCCACUGACCAUUGAAGGAAUUCUAAUAAUGUCUUAGUCUGUGGAUAUUCAGCUGGAUUACAAUGCAGUGCAAAGACUGCAGAUAACCCUCAUUUCAAAAACAAGAAGAGAAAGCAUUCUACUUCAUUCCUGCUUAUUACCCUACUGAAAUUAUAUUUUCAAAAUCAUUAGUGGCUAUGUCCUAACCAUUAUUUCCUUAAUUUUCAUCUGCCUGAAAUCAUCUUAUUCUCUUUUUCCUUGAGUUCUGCCUCUCACUAACUUCCAAAAAAUUACCCUUGUUUUCAUUUCAUUAUAUAAAAUCAUUGCUCUCCUUUUCCUGUUUUUGUCUUCCUACCUACCUCUGAAUGCACAAAUCCUUUAGUAUUUUCUCUGCUCUUUUAUUCCUACCUUCAGACUCGCUAGAAAGCAAGUCUAUUUGCUUUUAUCUGUAAUCUCCAUAGUAAUCAUCAAAUUUCUCUGAGCUCUGACCUUUGAAAUACACACUUAUGAAACCUCUCUCCUUUUCUCCUAAGAUACAGAUUCCUAUCAAUAACUCAGGUACACAUCUUGCAGUUUGUUAUUUUUAUUCCUCUCUCUAUAUUCAGUCCCUUCAAUUCUGCACCCCAUCACCCUUCAAUUCUGUGUGCUCCACCACACCAGGCCAGAAGUGCCUUUUGUUAUGUGCAAACUACAACAGGAUUUUAAAUUCUCCUUGAAAGUGGUUAUGUCCUACAGAGCUUUUUCCUGGGUUUCCUGGUUUGGUCUCCUUACUUUCCAAUACUUUGUGUUGUAGAAUUACAGAGUACAAGACUGUGCACCUCAUUCACUCUCUGCUUUCAGGUUGCCUAGGUUUGGAAACUGACUCUUCUUCCUUUUGGCGAGGUGAACUGGCAAUUUGAUUGACAGUCUUGUGACUGUAAAAUGGGCAAAAUAAUAGAAUUUUCUCAUAGAUGUUUGUAAAGAUUAAAUGAUUAGUAUAUAUGAAUCUCUUAGCAACACUAAAUAGAUGCUUUAUUAUUUAGCAUGUUAAUGUAAGAUAUGGUAUAUUAGGAUAUUGUUAUGUAGUAUAUUAGUACAUAGUAUAUUUGGUAUUAGUCUUUAUU
Molecule: long non-coding RNA, 6353 nt
Filed under: Sus scrofa (pig)
Lineage: Eukaryota; Metazoa; Chordata; Mammalia; Artiodactyla; Suidae
Description: lncRNA (ENSSSCG00025053471.1)
Source: RNAcentral